UAAUCUCUGGAAACGGGGACGUAAUACCGGAUAGGUAAUCGGAAGGCAUCUUCUGGUUAUUAAAGGUUAAAAAACACUGGUGGAUGGGCUUAUGGCGCAUUAGUUAGUUGGUGAGGUAACGGCCCACCAAGACGAUGAUGCGUAGCCGGCCUGAGAGGGUGAACGGCCACAUUGGGACUGAGACACGGCCCAGACUCCUACGGGAGGCAGCAGCU
RNAcentral lists this ribosomal RNA (215 nucleotides) under uncultured Solobacterium sp. RNAcentral describes it as "partial 16S ribosomal RNA". It matches the Rfam family "Bacterial small subunit ribosomal RNA", at positions 144 to 355 of the family's 1533-position model. The record is from RNAcentral. Lineage: Bacteria; Bacillati; Bacillota; Erysipelotrichia; Erysipelotrichales; Erysipelotrichaceae.